UGUGUAGACGGUAUGCUAAGUCAGUUGUUUAAUUCUCCGGCCUAACCGGAGGCCAGCAGCAGAAACUGGUAUGCUAGAGGGUGGAAGAGAGGAGUGGAAUUCUCGGAGUAGCGGUAAAAUGCGUAGAUCUCGAGAGGAACACCAAUGGCGAAGGCAGCUUCUUGGUCCAUACCUGACGUUGAGACACGAAAGCGUGGGAGCAAACA
RNAcentral lists this ribosomal RNA (206 nucleotides) under uncultured bacterium. RNAcentral describes it as "partial 16S ribosomal RNA". It matches the Rfam family "Bacterial small subunit ribosomal RNA", at positions 568 to 774 of the family's 1533-position model. The record is from RNAcentral.